GUGGGGAAUAUUGGACAAUGGGGGAAACCCUGAUCCAGCGACGCCGCGUGAGUGAAGAAGUAUUUCGGUAUGUAAAGCUCUAUCAGCAGGGAAGAAAAUGACGGUACCUGACUAAGAAGCCCCGGCUAACUACGUGCCAGCAGCCGCGGUAAUACGUAGGGGGCAAGCGUUAUCCGGAUUUACUGGGUGUAAAGGGAGCGUAGACGGCACUGCAAGUCUGGAGUGAAAGCCCGGGGCUCAACCCCGGGACUGCUUUGGAAACUGUGGUGCUGGAGUGCAGGAGAGGUAAGUGGAAUUCCUAGUGUAGCGGUGAAAUGCGUAGAUAUUAGGAGGAACACCAGUGGCGAAGGCGGCUUACUGGACUGUAACUGACGUUGAGGCUCGAAAGCGUGGGGAGCAAACAGGAUUAGAAACCCGAGUAGUCC
RNAcentral lists this ribosomal RNA (425 nucleotides) under uncultured bacterium. RNAcentral's name for it is "partial 16S ribosomal RNA". It matches the Rfam family "Bacterial small subunit ribosomal RNA", at positions 354 to 796 of the family's 1533-position model. The record is from RNAcentral.